AACUGCGAGUGAAGCGGGAAAAGCUCAAAUUUAAAAUCUGGCGGUCCUUGGCCGUCCGAGUUGUAAUUUAGAGAAGCGUCUUCCGCGCUGGACCGUGCACAAGUCUCCUGGAAUGGAGCGUCAUAGAGGGUGAGAAUCCCGUCUUUGGCACGGAUGCCUGGUGCUUCUGCGAUGCGCUCUCGAAGAGUCGAGUUGUUUGGGAAUGCAGCUCAAAAUGGGUGGUGAACUCCAUCUAAAGCUAAAUAUUGGCGAGAGACCGAUAGCGAACAAGUACCGUGAGGGAAAGAUGAAAAGCACUUUGGAAAGAGAGUGAAACAGUACGUGAAAUUGUUGAAAGGGAAACGCUUGAAGUCAGUCGCGUCGACCGAGACUCAGCCUUGCCUUGGCUUGGUGUACUUCUCGGCCCGACGGGUCAGCGUCAAUUUUGCCCCUCGGAUAAUGGCAAGGGAAAGGUGGCACCUUUACGGGUGUGUUAUAGUCUCCUGUCGCAUGCGAGGGGUGGGAUUGAGGAACUCAGCGUGCACCUUGGUGUCGGGGCUUCG
This 542-nucleotide ribosomal RNA is filed under the name Lactarius betulinus. Its description in RNAcentral is "LSU rRNA". It matches the Rfam family "Eukaryotic large subunit ribosomal RNA", at positions 85 to 642 of the family's 3401-position model. The record is from RNAcentral. Lineage: Eukaryota; Fungi; Basidiomycota; Agaricomycetes; Russulales; Russulaceae.